RNAcentral lists this ribosomal RNA (1459 nucleotides) under Candidatus Campbellbacteria bacterium GW2011_GWC2_35_28. RNAcentral's name for it is "bacterial SSU rRNA". It matches the Rfam family "Bacterial small subunit ribosomal RNA". The record is from RNAcentral. Lineage: Bacteria; Candidatus Campbelliibacteriota. RNAcentral also lists the same sequence under 1 other name.
AUUAGAGUUUGAUCCUAGCUCAGGAUGAACGCUGGCUGUGUGGAUUAGGCAUGCAAGUCGAGUGGGUUUAGACCCACGGCGAACGAGGUAGUAACACGUAGGAACGUACCCUAAAGUCUGGCAUAACUUAUCGAAAGGUAGGAUAAUUCCAGAUGGUCUCGCAAGAGUAAAGAUUUAUCGCUUUAGGAACGGCCUGCGGAGUAUCAGCUUGUUGGUAGUGUAAUGGACUACCAAGGCUAUGACGCUUAGGGGAGGUGAGAGCCUGGCCCCCACCGAUGGUACUGAGACACGGACCAUACUCCUACGGGAGGCCGCAGUCGAGAAUCUUCCGCAAUGGGCGAAAGCCUGACGGAGCGACACAGCGUGAUUGAUGAAGCUCUUCGGAGUGUAAAGGUCUUUUAUAAGUGAAGAAGUUUAUUGACAUUAGCUUAUGAAUAAGGGGUUGCUAAACUCGUGCCAGCAGCAGCGGUAAUACGAGUGCCCCGAGCGUUAUCCGGAAUUAUUGGGCGUAAAGGGUGUGUAGGUGGUUUUGUUAGUCUUUUGUUAAAGACCCGGGCUCAACCCGGGGAGCGCAAAGGAAACGGCAAAACUAGAGAGUGUGAGGGGUGAAUGGAACUCAUAGUGUAGGGGUGAAAUCCGUUGAUAUUAUGGGGAACACCAAAAGCGAAGGCAAUUCACUGGCGCAUUUCUGACACUGAAACACGAAAGCGUGGGUAGCGAAUGGGAUUAGAUACCCCAGUAGUCCACGCCCUAAACGAUGUUCUCUAGCUUUUUGGAGUAUCGACCCUCUAAGAGGCGAAGCUAACGCGUUAAGAGAACCGCCUGGGUAGUACGGCCGCAAGGCUAAAACUCAAAGGAAUAGACGGGGACUUGCACAAGCGGUGGAUUACGUGGUUUAAUUCGAUGAUACGCGAAAAACCUCACCAAGAUUAGACAUCUAGUUUACGUCUUUCUGGAAACAGAAAGUCCUAACGGCUAGACAGGUGAUGCAUGGUCGUCGUCAGUUCGUGGCUUGAGCUGUUCCCUUAAGUGGGGAAACGAACGCAACCCUUAUCGUCUGUUACAAGUGUCAGGCGAGCUCGAAGCAAACUUUGUUUGUUUCAGGCUGGGAGGAAGGUGGGGAUGACGCCAGAUCAGCAUGUCCCUAGAUAUCUUGGGCUACACACAUAAUACAAUGGCUGUGACAACGGGUCGCGACGGGGUAACCCUGAGCCAAUCCUUUAAACACAGCCCCAGUUCGGAUUGAGGUCUGCAACUCGACCCCAUGAAGUUGGAAUCGCUAGUAAUCGCUGGUCAGCAUACAGCGGUGAAUAUGUUCUCAAGUCUUGUACUCACCGCCCGUCAACUCAAGGGAGCUGGGAGUACCCGACAGUCGUCUUUAUGACGGACUAAGGUAAAUUCAGUGACAGGGAGUAAGUCGUAACAAGGCACGGGUAGCGGAAGCUGUUCGUGGAAUAUU